Molecule: ribosomal RNA, 820 nt
Filed under: uncultured marine bacterium
Lineage: Bacteria
Description: bacterial SSU rRNA
Rfam family: Bacterial small subunit ribosomal RNA
Source: RNAcentral
AACGUACGCUGGCGGCACGCCUAACACAUGCAAGUCGAACGAAGUAGCAAUACUUAGUGGCAGACGGGUGAGUAACAUGUAGGUAUCUGCCCUUUGGCCUGGAAUAACACGAGGAAACUUGUGCUAAUACCGGAUAAGUCUUUACGGAGAAAGCUUUAUGCACCAUUGGAUGAGCCUGCACUUGAUUAGUUUGUUGGUGGGGUAACGGCCUACCAAGACUGUGAUCAAUAGCUGAUUUGAGAGGAUGAUCAGCCACAUUGGGACUGAGACACGGCCCAAACUCCUACGGGAGGCAGCAGUGGGGAAUCUUGCACAAUGGAGGAAACUCUGAUGCAGCGAUGCCGCGUGAGUGAAGAAGGCCCUUGGGUUGUAAAGCUCUUUCGUCGGGGAAGAAAAUGACUGUACCCGAAUAAGAAGGUCCGGCUAACUUCGUGCCAGCAGCCGCGGUAAUACGAAGGGACCUAGCGUAGUUCGGAAUUACUGGGCUUAAAGAGUUCGUAGGUGGUUGAAAAAGUUGGUGGUGAAAUCCCAGAGCUUAACUCUGGAACUGCCAUCAAAACUUUUCAGCUAGAGUAUGAUAGAGGAAAGCAGAAUUUCUAGUGUAGAGGUGAAAUUCGUAGAUAUUAGAAAGAAUACCAAUUGCGAAGGCAGCUUUCUGGAUCAUUACUGACACUGAGGAACGAAAGCAUGGGUAGCGAAGAGGAUUAGAUACCCUCGUAGUCCAUGCCGUAAACGAUGUGUGUUAGACGUUGGAAAUUUAUUUUCAGUGUCGCAGCAAAAGCGAUAAACACACCGCCUGGGGAGUACGACCGCAAGGUUA